UACGUAGGGGGCGAGCGUUGUCCAGAGUUACUGGGCGUAAAGCGCGUGUAGGUGGUUUGAAAAGUCAGGUGUGAAAUCUUUCAGCUCAACUGGGAAAUUGCGCUUGAAACUUUCAGACUGGAGUCUUGGAGGGGUAACCGGAAUUCCUGGUGUAACGGUGAAAUGUGUAGAUAUCAGGAGGAACACCUGUGGCGAAGGCGGGUUGCUGGACAAUGACUGACACUGAGACGCGAAAGCGUGGGUAGCAAAC
RNAcentral lists this ribosomal RNA (250 nucleotides) under uncultured prokaryote. Its description in RNAcentral is "partial 16S ribosomal RNA". It matches the Rfam family "Bacterial small subunit ribosomal RNA", at positions 524 to 773 of the family's 1533-position model. The record is from RNAcentral.